Long non-coding RNA from Xenia sp. Carnegie-2017, 84 nucleotides. RefSeq lists it as uncharacterized. Lineage: Eukaryota; Metazoa; Cnidaria; Anthozoa; Malacalcyonacea; Xeniidae. The record is from RefSeq and is a predicted model, not a curated record. The transcript is spliced from 3 exons.
ACGCAGCGUACAGGGGUACAUAAACAUACAAAAAUGAUAGUAAAUAAUUCUCAUCAAACAGAUAUGGUUACUUUACUCGGUAUA